This 346-nucleotide long non-coding RNA is filed under the name Physcomitrium patens. Its description in RNAcentral is "long non-coding RNA (PPAT_LNC010545)". The record is from RNAcentral. Lineage: Eukaryota; Viridiplantae; Streptophyta; Bryopsida; Funariales; Funariaceae.
UUUUCUUUUGGACCAAGGUCAAAGUUACAUAGAUAAUGUACAUGUAAUGGAAAUACAAUUGGAUUUUGACAAAGAUAAAAUUCAUUAUCAAGUAUGGAAUUCAAGGGUUUGGUUAGGAUUUGAUUUAAGAUUUGGUUGGGAUUUGAUUUAAGGUUUGUUUAGGAUUUGAUUUAGGAUUUAGGAUUUUAUUAGGAUUUAAGAUUCAAUUAGUUUUGGCCUAAAGUUUGAAUGAAGUUCAAUAGGAUUUUAACUAGAAUUAAAUUAAGAUUGAAUUGAGAUGUAUUUGAGUGAUAUUUGUGAUCUUUUUAAUAUUCCUUUAAGAAUUCUUAUCGUUUCUUUGAAAUUU